GCAGAAAUAGCUCAGUUGCAAGAGCGUUAGAUUGAAGCUCUAAAGGUCCCUGGUUCAAUCCCAGGCUUUGGCA
Molecule: transfer RNA, 73 nt
Filed under: Pelodiscus sinensis (Chinese soft-shelled turtle)
Lineage: Eukaryota; Metazoa; Chordata; Testudines; Trionychidae
Rfam family: tRNA
About the family: Transfer RNA (tRNA) molecules are approximately 80 nucleotides in length. Their secondary structure includes four short double-helical elements and three loops (D, anti-codon, and T loops).
Source: Rfam by way of RNAcentral